AUACAGGGGAAUAGCCCGAAGAAAUUCGGAUUAAUGCUCCAUGGUUUAUCGAUAUGGCAUCGUAUUGAUAAUAAAGAUUUAUCGGUAUAAGAUGGGCAUGCGUAUCAUUAGCUAGUUGGUGUGGUAACGGCAUACCAAGGCAACGAUGAUUAGGGGUCCUGAGAGGGAGAUCCCCCACACUGGUACUGAGACACGGACCAGACUCCUACGGGAGGCAGCAGUGAGGAAUAUUGGUCAAUGGAGGCAACUCUGAACCAGCCAUGCCGCGUGCAGGAUGACGGUCCUAUGGAUUGUAAACUGCUUUUGUACAGGAAGAAACCUCCCUACGAGUAGGGACUUGACGGUACUGUAAGAAUAAGGAUCGGCUAACUCCGUGCCAGCAGCCGCGGUAAUACGGAGGAUCCGAGCGUUAUCCGGAAUUAUUGGGUUUAAAGGGUUCGUAGGCGGUCAGAUAAGUCAGUGGUGAAAUUUCUUAGCUUAACUAAGACACGGCCAUUGAUACUGUUUGACUUGAAUAGUAUGGAAGUAACUAGAAUAUGUAGUGUAGCGGUGAAAUGCUUAGAUAUUACAUGGAAUACCAAUUGCGAAGGCAGGUUACUACGUAUUUAUUGACGCUGAUGAACGAAAGCGUGGGGAGCGAACAGGAUUAGAUACCCUGGUAGUCCACGCCGUAAACGAUGGAUACUAGCUGUUCGGUUUUCGGACUGAGUGGCUAAGCGAAAGUGAUAAGUAUCCCACCUGGGGAGUACGUUCGCAAGAAUGAAACUCAAAGGAAUUGACGGGGGCCCGCACAAGCGGUGGAGCAUGUGGUUUAAUUCGAUGAUACGCGAGGAACCUUACCAGGGCUUAAAUGUAGAUUGACAGAUUUGGAAACAGAUUUUUCUUCGGACAAUUUACAAGGUGCUGCAUGGUUGUCGUCAGCUCGUGCCGUGAGGUGUCAGGUUAAGUCCUAUAACGAGCGCAACCCCUAUUGUUAGUUACCAGCGAGUAAUGGCGGGAACUCUAGCAAGACUGCCGGUGCAAACCGUGAGGAAGGUGGGGAUGACGUCAAAUCAUCACGGCCCUUACGUCCUGGGCUACACACGUGCUACAAUGGCAAGUACAGAAAGCAGCUACCUGGCAACAGGAUGCGAAUCUCCAAAGCUUGUCUCAGUUCGGAUUGGAGUCUGCAACUCGACUCUAUGAAGCUGGAAUCGCUAGUAAUCGGAUAUCAGCCAUGAUCCGGUGAAUACGUUCCCGGGCCUUGUACACACCGCCCGUCAAGCCAUGGAAGCUGGGGGUACCUGAAGUCGGUGACCGCAAGGAGCUGCCUAGGGUAAAACUAGUAACUAGGGCUAAGUC
RNAcentral lists this ribosomal RNA (1341 nucleotides) under Myroides odoratimimus. RNAcentral describes it as "bacterial SSU rRNA". It matches the Rfam family "Bacterial small subunit ribosomal RNA", at positions 133 to 1487 of the family's 1533-position model. The record is from RNAcentral. Lineage: Bacteria; Pseudomonadati; Bacteroidota; Flavobacteriia; Flavobacteriales; Flavobacteriaceae.